Molecule: ribosomal RNA, 257 nt
Filed under: Salmonella enterica subsp. enterica serovar Heidelberg
Lineage: Bacteria; Pseudomonadati; Pseudomonadota; Gammaproteobacteria; Enterobacterales; Enterobacteriaceae
Also listed under: 4 other names
Description: partial 23S ribosomal RNA
Rfam family: Bacterial large subunit ribosomal RNA
Source: RNAcentral
CUUGACACUGAACAUUGAGCCUUGAUGUGUAGGAUAGGUGGGAGGCUUUGAAGUGUGGACGCCAGUCUGCAUGGAGCCGACCUUGAAAUACCACCCUUUAAUGUUUGAUGUUCUAACGUGGACCCGUGAUCCGGGUUGCGGACAGUGUCUGGUGGGUAGUUUGACUGGGGCGGUCUCCUCCUAAAGAGUAACGGAGGAGCACGAAGGUUGGCUAAUCCUGGUCGGACAUCAGGAGGUUAGUGCAAUGGCAUAAGCCA